UACGGAGGAUCCAAGCGUUAUCCGGAAUCAUUGGGUUUAAAGGGUCCGUAGGCGGGCCUGUAAGUCAGUGGUGAAAUCUUUCGGCUCAACCGGAAAAUUGCCAUUGAUACUGCAGGCCUUGAAUUAUUGGGAAGUAACUAGAAUAUGUAGUGUAGCGGUGAAAUGCUUAGAUAUUACAUGGAAUACCGAUUGCGAAGGCAGGUUACUAUCAAUAUAUUGACGCUGAUGGACGAAAGCGUGGGGAGCGAAUAGG
Molecule: ribosomal RNA, 253 nt
Filed under: uncultured bacterium
Lineage: Bacteria
Description: partial 16S ribosomal RNA
Rfam family: Bacterial small subunit ribosomal RNA
Source: RNAcentral